GACGAACGCUGGCGGCGUGCUUAACACAUGCGAGUCGAACGGAAAGGCCCUGCUUUUGUGGGGUGCUCGAGUGGCGAACGGGUGAGUAACACGUGAGUAACCUGCCCUUGACUUUGGGAUAACUUCAGGAAACUGGGGCUAAUACCGGAUAGGAGCUCCUGCUGCAUGGUGGGGGUUGGAAAGUUUCGGCGGUUGGGGAUGGACUCGCGGCUUAUCAGCUUGUAGGUGGGGUAGUGGCUUACCAAGGCUUUGACGGGUAGCCGGCCUGAGAGGGUGACCGGCCACAUUGGGACUGAGAUACGGCCCAGACUCCUACGGGAGGCAGCAGUGGGGAAUAUUGCACAAUGGGCGGAAGCCUGAUGCAGCAACGCCGCGUGCGGGAUGACGGCCUUCGGGUUGUAAACCGCUUUCGCCUGUGACGAAGCGUGAGUGACGGUAAUGGGUAAAGAAGCACCGGCUAACUACGUG
This 468-nucleotide ribosomal RNA is filed under the name uncultured bacterium. Its description in RNAcentral is "partial 16S ribosomal RNA". It matches the Rfam family "Bacterial small subunit ribosomal RNA", at positions 28 to 507 of the family's 1533-position model. The record is from RNAcentral.